RNAcentral lists this long non-coding RNA (394 nucleotides) under Ostreococcus sp. 'lucimarinus'. RNAcentral's name for it is "long non-coding RNA (OLUC_LNC000041)". Lineage: Eukaryota; Viridiplantae; Chlorophyta; Mamiellophyceae; Mamiellales; Bathycoccaceae. The record is from RNAcentral.
UCCCUCACUGCACGUUCCCGCCGCGUCUUCCUCCGACGCGCUCGCGUCGUUUCGCCGCGUUCGCGCGUUCGCGCGCUUCGUCGUCCCCAAUUUCCGUCUCCGUCGCGUCGUGAGCGGUGAGUCCCGCAUCCCGUCGCCAUCGUCGUCACCAUCGCCUAACGCCCGUCCGCGCGUCGUCUGCACCGCCUCCGUCGUCAUUCGCAUCGACGCCCACGGGUCAUCUCUCGCCGCGCCGUUUCGUUGAAACGUCUCCAUUCGUUCGUUCGUCGUUCGUUCGUUCGCGCGUUCGGCGUUCGUCGUUCGUUCGCGCGACGACGCGUCGUCGACGCGCGUCGACGACGGUCGACGACGGACUCCCUCGGUCGGCUCGAGCGCCGCGAUCGGUGCGUUCGAG